UUGAGGAAUCACCACACUGUCUUCCACAAUGGUUGAACUAGCUUUUAUGCAUUGCAAAGUGACUACACAAAGUGACCUAUCCCUUGUCUCCUUUAUCUCUCUAGCAACCCUCCAGUUAUUAGGGCAGCUACUACUCUCAUCUUCCAUAUAAGAAGUGGGAACACUUUCAUGGAUGUUCUGGGACUCACAGUCCAAGUCCUGGUUCUUAGAGAGUUGGAUCCAGAUCCUGUGUCUUGUAGGUAUAUAGGUAUAUGUUUAUGCAUUGAAAUGAAAUAUGUACAACUAGGUCCUUCCCCGUCUCCCCUAUAAAGCCUAUAAAGUCUUCUAUGAAACAAAGUUAAUUCCAUUCUCAGACAGAGGCUCCCAGAAUCCAGUGUUUUGGUUGGUCUCCGCUACAAAUGCUUUUUCUGAUAUUUGUGUGUUUGCAAGUCCCUCUCUGAGACUUUCUAAAAUUUGAUUGUUAAUUGGCUGUUAUAUGCAUGAAGUUCUGGACUUGGUGUCCCAAGCUCUUUAUAGAUUUACUUUUUUUCUCCCCCUCCUGCCAUUAAAUAAUCACCCUUGAGCUUCUCUCAACUUACUCUCCAUCAAUAACCAUUGUAUUCGUUCCAUUACAGCCCUCCUAAAUACAAAACAAUGACGACAACAACAAACCAUUCAAACUUCCAACCAACUUCCCCUGAAGGCACAGAAGGUGAGACCUAAGGGAAAAGAAAUCCACCCUCUUUAACAUCAGCUAACAGCAUAGGAGUAAAUGCCUGGUACAGAGCCCAGAAUUCCUAUUUCACAUUCUGAUUUGGCACUUUCACCAUAAUGGGAAAAUCUCCUCUACUUUUCCUGUGAAGCUGUUUCUUCUCCUUCUGGAAGAUAACAGCAGGAUGAUAGAGGAGGUCAAAGGAUAAAGAGAAAGGAUGCAGCCUAUUUCUUCAUUUAUUUGACCAAUAAUGUUUGAAAAUGAUGAAGUCCUUGUCCUCAAGAAACUAACAGCCUGGGGUGAAGGGUGCAGGUGGGACAGAUGUAAAAACAAUUUCAGAUGCAGACGCUACAUGUGAUUAUCAAAGUCUGUAGAGUGGCUCAUGCCUGUAAUCCCAGCACUUUAGGAGGCUAAGGCAGGCAGAUCACCUGAGGUCAGGAGUUCGAGACCAGCCUGGCCAACAUGGUAAAACCCCAUCUUUACUAAAAAUACAAAAAAAUAGCCAGGCGUGGUGGCAGUCACCUGUAAUCCCAGCUACUCGGGAGGCUGAGGCAGGAGAAUCACUUGAACCGGAGAGGCAGAGGUUGUGGUGAGCUGAGAUCGCGCCACUGCACUCCAGCCUGGGCAACAAGAGUGAGACUUCAUCUCAAAAAAAAAAAAAAAAAAAAAAAAGUCUGUAAAGAAGAGGUCAUAAAGUAGGGUAGUAGUUUUUUAAAAUAUAUAUCUUCCUUUUCUCUACUUAUCAUGCUCAUGCUUUUCUCUACUUUCUUGAAAAAAAUGGAAUGUAUUUUUUAAACUGUGUUGACUUUCUGGUCUGCUGAUUAUAUUAUUUGUCGUUUGUGGGUCUAUUUUCUAUUGAUUGAUUUGCCUACUCUACACUGGACAGGGGGAUCCAGGAAGCCUUCAUAGGAGAAAUAACCCCAAUAAGGGGAAGUGUCCUCCAGGCAGCAAAACAGCACACGAGAGUAGGGUAGAGUGCAAUAGAACAGCUCAGGGAGCCUGAGAAAUUCCGUGGCACUGGAAGCUGGGUUAUGAAGGGGAUAUGUUUAAGGGCUAAGUCUGGAGAGGCAGGCAAUGGCUCAGAUGGUGAAGAAUGUGAUCUGUCAGGUAAGCAGGCAGAACUCAUCCUAUAGAAGGUAAAGAGCCUCUGGAGCGAUCUAAAGGAGAAAGUGUCUUUUGUUUUAAAUGCUCACUAGCUGCAGAGUAGAGAAUGGAUUGAGAGAGGUGAGCCUGAAGAAAGGCCACUUAAGAAGCUAUUAUGGUGGUUAAGGUGAGAGAUGAAAGUAGCCCGGAAAAGAUCAGAUUCAAUGGGGUUGAAGAAAAGUGGAUGAAUUUGAUAGACUUUUAGAAGGGAGAAUCUAAUAUGAUAGAAAAUAUGAGGGUGAUUUCUGGCCCUUCACAGGAGAAAGAGGCUGAAAGAGAGGAACGGAGUGAGGAGAGAUUAUGAAAUGAGUUAGGAUGGGUGGGGUGUAUCCUCUGGGGUUCCCAUGCCAAAUUUCCUUCAGGUGACCAGUUUUACCUUUCUCCCUGCCACCUUCAUCCCUGCCUGGUCAUUAAGGAUGGACAUGCCACUUGUCUUUGCUGGACCUUAAUUUCCAUCCAUGAAAUGAAGGGACUGGGAUUGAGCCCUUCCCUCUUCUCCCAGGCUGGGCUGAGCUCUCCCUUCUCUGAGUCUUGCAGUAUCUGUCUCAGUCUUACACUACUAAGCUUUUGCUGCCCAGUAUCUGCAUUCUGUUUCCCCAAGAAGAGUUGAAGUUCUUGGAGGGGAGGGCACCUUAAGCCACUCGGUAUCCUCUACCAGCUGCUUGCAAAGGCUUCUUCAAACCUGAGAGGCCAGUCUUCCUGGGUAUGGAAGACUAGUCUUCAGGUUGCUUCUGGCUAUCCCCAACAUCCUUACUCUCCAGAACUUUCAGAUGCUGGGUCCAGGGCCCAUUUCACUGAGCCCUCUGCAGCUGGAAUUUAUCUUGCCCCAGAGCCCAGCUGAACAGCACUGGGGGUGGGAGAUGUAAGCUGAUGGGAGAGAAACAUGGCAGGAAUCCUGGUUCUAGGAGAGUUGGAUCCAGAUCCUGUGUCUCGUAGGGAUGUAUGUGUGUGUUUAUGUGUAUAUGUAUGCGUGCAUGUGCAGACAUAUGUGUGUGCACGUAUGACACAUUGGAGUGUCUCUGUGGGUUUUUUUUCUGUAUUAAGUUAUAUGUGAAGUUCCAUUGGUGUGUCUGCACUAAAUCAUGAUGCAUAAGUCAGCGCACACAUCUCAACAUCUGUGAGGUUGAUAUGUGUGUCUGUUAGAAUGUGUGUGUUGGUGUGGAUAGACGCCUCUGGGUAUACAGGCCUGUGUGGGGGGCUAAGUGGGCAUGUGUGUUUGUGGUUUGCCUGUGAGUGCCUCUAUGUGAGUUUGUGUUCUGCCAGGAUUGGGAACAUUCCUAGGGAAGGGAUUGUGUCUAAUUAAUUAUUGUACCCAGGCCCUUGGACCCGGGACAUAAAAACUGCUAAGCAAAUUUGUGUUGACUGAAUGAAUGAAUGAAGUGGACUGGACAUUCAGAGAUUGUUAUUCAGACAACAUGCCCAUUUGUAGAAAACAAAAAGGUGUAAAUAGCUAGCUAGCUAGAUGAUAAUUGAGUAGGGAGGUAUGUAGACGAUAGGUAGAUAGGAGGUAGAUGAUGAUAGAUAGAUAGAUACAUACAUACAUAGAUAGAUACAUAGAUAGAUACAUGGAUAGAUAGAUGACAGGUAGCUAGACAGAUAGACAGCUGAGAUUGGCUCUAAGUGGAAUCCUAUGUACUUUCUCCUGGAAGUUAUAUUAGAGUUCAUAUGUCUCAGGGUGCUCCAAAACAUCGGCUCUGGCAGCUCUGUGAGUUAUUAUGGAGUUGCUUUGAGGGCCUUCAGAGGAAGGAAUCACAGAAUGGGAGAGCUAAGCUCCCCACCUGACAUCAACAAGAAUCUAUUUGCUUUUAAUCUCUGGUUGUCCAAGUCGAAUUGUAAAGUUUCACUACUAUAAAUUUUUGAAAAUCUUGUUACAGACCAACCCCUUUUAUUCUACAGAAGGGAGCAGCUGAGCCUCAGAGAGGGGAGAAGGUUAGAACCUGACCUCUCUUUCAGGCCUGUUUCUACCAUGCCACCUGCCUUGGGAUGUAGUAAGUAUGACUCCGCUAACUCACUGGGAAACAGAAUGCAAUUCUUCUCAGGAACCCGUCUUUUAGAGAAGCCACUAUCAUAGUGGCCCUUGGGAUGUCUGUCCAAGAAAUGACCCCAUUUGUGUCAGACCUGCCCCAUUAGGUCAGCCCCUUUGGCUAUGUGCUAGAUGGUCCCAGUCCCCUGGCCCAGACUACUGGACCCUGACCCAAGCAGCAAAAUCAAAUUCCCUGAUGCAAUUUGGAGGUGGGAUAGCAACAUGCUAACCAGUCUCUGUUGGUCCCUGAAUUAGGAAGUGAUGUGAAGCUAGAAUGUCCAUAUUUAAUCAAGGGAUGAGUGAACAGGAAAAGCUGGCUUCAGAGACAUAAAAAGA
RNAcentral lists this long non-coding RNA (4193 nucleotides) under Homo sapiens (human). Its description in RNAcentral is "HSALNT0228555". The record is from RNAcentral. Lineage: Eukaryota; Metazoa; Chordata; Mammalia; Primates; Hominidae.